Molecule: unclassified non-coding RNA, 530 nt
Filed under: Fusarium equiseti
Lineage: Eukaryota; Fungi; Ascomycota; Sordariomycetes; Hypocreales; Nectriaceae
Description: sequence contains ITS1 and 5.8S rRNA gene
Rfam family: 5.8S ribosomal RNA (bases 117-271)
Source: RNAcentral
AUACGUUUCCUCAGCUGAUCUGCCCUCGGCCCCGCCCAACGUUCAUGGCCCGCCCGAGGACCCCUAACCUCUGUUCUCAGCGGAACUACACACCUAAAACAUACGACUAAUUCAAAACAUUUCAACAACGGAAUCUCUUGGUUCUGGCAUCAAUUAACAACGCAGCAUAAUGCGAUUACUGAUGCGAAUUGCAAAAUUCAGUGAAUCAUCAACUCUUUGAACGCGCAUUGCUCCCGCCAGCAUUCUGGCUGGCAUGCCUGUUUGAGCCCCCUUUCAUCCCUCGAGCUCUGCUUGUUGUAGGGACUCUCCUUAACCCCCGUUCCCCAUAGCGAUUGGCGGCCACGUCCAGCUUCCAUAGCGUACUAAUCAUACACCUCGUUACUGGUCAUCGUCCCAGCCACGCCCUAAAACCCCUACUUCUGAAUGUCUACCUCCGAUCACGUAGCAAGACCCGCUCAACUUAAUCAUAUCACUAGUCGAAGGAAGACAGGUAGGGAUACCCGCUGAACUUAAGCAUAUCAUAAGCGGAG